This 253-nucleotide long non-coding RNA is filed under the name Gossypium raimondii (Peruvian cotton). RNAcentral's name for it is "long non-coding RNA (GRAI_LNC002606)". Lineage: Eukaryota; Viridiplantae; Streptophyta; Magnoliopsida; Malvales; Malvaceae. The record is from RNAcentral.
GUAUGGUGGUGACGUGGUGGGGACGCGUGGCCGGGGCGGGAGGUACGGUGGCGGCUGGAAACUUAGGCUACUGUUUAGGGUUUUUGUGUUUGUUGAGUUUAAGUGUUGGGCUAAUUGGGAUAGGGUUAAUUUGGGUUAUUGGGUUUUAAUUUGUAUUUGGGUCGGUAAUUUGUUUUUUUUGUAAUUGGACUGUUUGGGUUUUGGACAUUUGGUUGUUUUCUUGGUUUGGGCCCAGACCAAAAUUGGCCUAUUA